RNAcentral lists this ribosomal RNA (461 nucleotides) under Diplonevra taigaensis. RNAcentral describes it as "partial 16S ribosomal RNA". Lineage: Eukaryota; Metazoa; Arthropoda; Insecta; Diptera; Phoridae. The record is from RNAcentral.
GUUUAACCUGCCCACUGAAAGUUUAAAUGGCCGCAGUAUUUUAACUGUGCAAAGGUAGCAUAAUCAUUAGUUUUUUAAUUGAAAGCUGGUAUGAAUGGUUGGAUGAAAUAUUAACUGUUUCAAUUUAAUUUUUUUUAGAAUUUUAUUUUUUAGUUAAAAAGCUAAAAUUUAAUUAAAAGACGAGAAGACCCUAUAAAUCUUUAUAAUUAUAAUUUUAUUAAUAUAUAGAAAAUUUAAUUAAUAAUAAAUUUAAUUAUUUUAUUGGGGUGAUAUUAAAAUUUAAUAAACUUUUAAUUUAUAAAAACAUUAAUUAAUGAUUAUUUGAUCCAUUAUUAUGAUUAAAAAAUUAAGUUACUUUAGGGAUAACAGCGUAAUUUUUUUAGAGAGUUCAUAUUGAUAAAAAAGAUUGCGACCUCGAUGUUGGAUUAAGAUAUAGAUUUAGGUGCAGUAGUUUAAAUCUU